This is a long non-coding RNA of Thunnus maccoyii (southern bluefin tuna), 516 nucleotides long. RefSeq lists it as uncharacterized. The record is from RefSeq and is a predicted model, not a curated record. The transcript has 3 exons. NCBI's taxonomy places the organism in Eukaryota, Metazoa, Chordata, Actinopteri, Scombriformes, Scombridae.
AAUCAGAAUGUUAUUUUCUACAUUUAUAUAAAUGAACAAAAUAACAAUUCUGUUCUUUGUGUAUGCUGUAUAGAUACAGAUGUGAAAAGCUUUGAGGUAAACUUGUGAUUUGUGAUAAAUAAAUAAACCUGACUCGACUUUAAACAGUUGCAGAUAAGAGACAGAAAUGUGUGAACAGAAGGAGGAGGAGGAAGCGUCAGGGGACAAAGUUCAGUGUUGUGGUGACAGAAGGUGUUACAAAAGAAAAAAAAAGGAGGGCUAAAGCUAAAGAGAACAUGAAGGAUGCUCAGCUAAACUUCCCACAGAGGUUGGAAGGUGGAGAUGGGAAAAAUGAUGUCCGGAGAUUUGCAGAGGGAAUGAGAGGUAAUGGAGGGAGCUGGAGUGCUGCAGGGAUCCAGGAGCCAAGAGAGUGAGUGGAGCGCCACGCCCACACACACACACACGCGCGCACACACACACACAAACCAACAUCCGUUUCCUUUCAUUUGAUCAGUUAUUUGUUAUCAAAAAGUGAUC